This 309-nucleotide long non-coding RNA is filed under the name Elaeis guineensis (African oil palm). RNAcentral describes it as "long non-coding RNA (EGUI_LNC022240)". Lineage: Eukaryota; Viridiplantae; Streptophyta; Magnoliopsida; Arecales; Arecaceae. The record is from RNAcentral.
AGGAAUUAGAUGCAAUAAUAUUUUAUAACAGCCACUACAUUUGCCCCCAUCACAUGCCAUUAAUUUAGGCCCACAUUUGACUGAUCUUUUGACCAUCUGUAAUCAGCCUUUGUGCAAAAAUUUUGAAUGCGUGGAACAUUUCUUUUUCCUAAUAAUGACAGAAUGACAUCAUAUACAGAUGCCUUGUAUGAGUUUUACCAUCCCAGCCCCGUCAACUGUUGAAUUUAGGAGCCCCCUCCUCCCAAGUCCCUUGUCUGGCAGGAAAUCAUGGUCAUGAUGCAAGUCAGAUAUUAUACUUUGGUUAAAGAA